This 372-nucleotide ribosomal RNA is filed under the name uncultured organism. Its description in RNAcentral is "bacterial SSU rRNA". It matches the Rfam family "Bacterial small subunit ribosomal RNA", at positions 526 to 896 of the family's 1533-position model. The record is from RNAcentral.
CAGAGGGGGCAAGCGUUGUUCGGAAUUACUGGGCGUAAAGGGCGCGUAGGCGGCCUGCUAAGUCGAACGUGAAAUCCCCAGGCUCAACCUGGGAACUGCGUCCGAUACUGACAGGCUUGAAUCCGGGAGAGGGAUGUGGAAUUCCAGGUGUAGCGGUGAAAUGCGUAGAUAUCUGGAGGAACACCGGUGGCGAAGGCGGCAUCCUGGACCGGUAUUGACGCUGAGGCGCGAAAGCUAGGGUAGCAAACGGGAUUAGAUACCCCGGUAGUCCUAGCCCUAAACGAUGAAUGCUUGGUGUGGCGGGUAUCGAUCCCUGCCGUGCCGAAGCUAACGCAUUAAGCAUUCCGCCUGGGGAGUACGGUCGCAAGGCUG